This 280-nucleotide long non-coding RNA is filed under the name Setaria viridis. Its description in RNAcentral is "long non-coding RNA (SVIR_LNC009263)". The record is from RNAcentral. Lineage: Eukaryota; Viridiplantae; Streptophyta; Magnoliopsida; Poales; Poaceae.
GGUGAUGGAAACCCUGGAAAUUUUGAGUGACCUUCAUCUUGAGAUCGUGCUAGCUGAUCACCGUGUGUGGAGGAAGCAGUGAAUACCAGUUCAACGCCGCGCCCUCACAAGCAAUUAUGAAAGAUUUGGCGAGGAUGACAUCAUCCCCCCCGGCCGAAGCUACAGCGGCUUCAUAACUCAUUAAGAAUUGCCGUGGGUCUGUGCGCCCGUUGAAUUUGGGCAAGGUGGUUGGUUUGUAAGUUGUUGGCCAUGGUGCAGUUUGUAGCCCUAUUGAGAGCGG